GGGCCCGCACAAGCGGUGGAGCAUGUGGUUUAAUUCGAAGAUACGCGCAGAACCUUACCAACACUUGACAUGUUCGUCGCGACUUUGAGAGAUCAAAGUUUUCGGUUCGGCCGGACGAAACACAGGUGCUGCAUGGCUGUCGUCAGCUCGUGUCGUGAGAUGUUGGGUUAAGUCCCGCAACGAGCGCAACCCUCACUUUUAGUUGCCAUCAUUAAGUUGGGCACUCUGAAAGAACUGCCAGUGAUAAGCUGGAGGAAGGUGGGGAUGACGUCAAGUCCUCAUGGCCCUUACGUGUUGGGCUACACACGUGCUACAAUGGUAUCUACAACAGGAAGCAAGACUGCAAGGUUAAGCAAAUCCUAAAAAGAUACCUCAGUUCGGAUUGCACUCUGCAACUCGAGUGCAUGAAGCUGGAAUUACUAGUAAUCG
This 429-nucleotide ribosomal RNA is filed under the name uncultured bacterium. RNAcentral's name for it is "bacterial SSU rRNA". It matches the Rfam family "Bacterial small subunit ribosomal RNA", at positions 917 to 1344 of the family's 1533-position model. The record is from RNAcentral.